UACGUAGGGUGCAAGCGUUGUCCGGAAUUAUUGGGCGUAAAGAGCUUGUAGGCGGUUUGUCGCGUCUGCAGUGAAAUUUCGGGGCUCAACCCCGAACUUGCAGUGGGUACGGGCAGACUAGAGUGUGGUAGGGGAGAUCGGAAUUCCUGGUGUAGCGGUGAAAUGCGCAGAUAUCAGGAGGAACACCGGUGGCGAAGGCGGAUCUCUGGACAGUUCCUGACACUGAGGCACGAAGGCCAGGGGAGCAAACGGG
RNAcentral lists this ribosomal RNA (253 nucleotides) under uncultured bacterium. RNAcentral's name for it is "partial 16S ribosomal RNA". It matches the Rfam family "Bacterial small subunit ribosomal RNA", at positions 524 to 776 of the family's 1533-position model. The record is from RNAcentral.